This 253-nucleotide ribosomal RNA is filed under the name uncultured bacterium. RNAcentral's name for it is "partial 16S ribosomal RNA". It matches the Rfam family "Bacterial small subunit ribosomal RNA", at positions 524 to 776 of the family's 1533-position model. The record is from RNAcentral.
UACGGAGGGGGCUAGCGUUGCUCGGAAUUACUGGGCGUAAAGGGCGCGUAGGCGGCUUUGUAAGUCAGGCGUGAAAGCCCCGGGCUCAACCCGGGAAUUGCGCUUGGGACUGCAGGGCUCGAGGUCGGGAGAGGGUAGUGGAAUUCCCAGUGUAGAGGUGAAAUUCGUAGAUAUUGGGAAGAACACCAGUGGCGAAGGCGGCUACCUGGACCGAAUCUGACGCUAAGGCGCGAAAGCGUGGGGAGCAAACAGG